Molecule: non-coding RNA, 50 nt
Submitted as: unclassified sequences
Source: Rfam
CGGUUGAGAGGGCUGCAUUGCGGUCCGUUGAACGAAAGUUCACUCGGCUG